GGGCCCGCACAAGCGGUGGAGCAUGUGGUUUAAUUCGAUGCAACGCGAAGAACCUUACCAUCCCUUGACAUCCAGAGAAUUUUCUAGAGAUAGAAUUGUGCCUUCGGGAACUCUGAGACAGGUGCUGCAUGGCUGUCGUCAGCUCGUGUUGUGAAAUGUUGGGUUAAGUCCCGCAACGAGCGCAACCCUUAUCCUUGUUUGCCAGCGAGUAAUGUCGGGAACUCCAGGGAGACUGCCGGUGAUAAACCGGAGGAAGGUGGGGACGACGUCAAGUCAUCAUGGCCCUUACGAGUAGGGCUACACACGUGCUACAAUGGCGCAUACAGAGGGCGGCCAACUUGCGAGAGUGAGCGAAUCCCAAAAAGUGCGUCGUAGUCCGGAUCGGAGUCUGCAACUCGACUCCGUGAAGUCGGAAUCGCUAGUAAUCG
This 428-nucleotide ribosomal RNA is filed under the name uncultured bacterium. Its description in RNAcentral is "bacterial SSU rRNA". It matches the Rfam family "Bacterial small subunit ribosomal RNA", at positions 917 to 1344 of the family's 1533-position model. The record is from RNAcentral.